GAUGAACGCUGACAGAAUGCUUAACACAUGCAAGUCUACUUGAAUUUGGGUUUUUUAACUUAGAUUUGGGUGGCGGACGGGUGAGUAACGCGUAAAGAACUUGCCUCACAGCUAGGGGCAACAUUUGGAAACGAAUGCUAAUACCUGAUAUUAUGAUUAUAAGGCAUCUUAGAAUUAUGAAAGCUAUAUGCGCUGUGAGAGAGCUUUGCGUCCCAUUAGCUAGUUGGAGAGGUAACGGCUCACCAAGGCGAUGAUGGGUAGCCGGCCUGAGAGGGUGAACGGCCACAAGGGGACUGAGACACGGCCCUUACUCCUACGGGAGGCAGCAGUGGGGAAUAUUGGACAAUGGACCAAGAGUCUGAUCCAGCAAUUCUGUGUGCACGAUGACGUUUUUCGGAAUGUAAAGUGCUUUCAGUUGGGAAGAAAAAAAUGACGGUACCAACAGAAGAAGUGACGGCUAAAUACGUG
This 468-nucleotide ribosomal RNA is filed under the name uncultured bacterium. RNAcentral's name for it is "partial 16S ribosomal RNA". It matches the Rfam family "Bacterial small subunit ribosomal RNA", at positions 28 to 507 of the family's 1533-position model. The record is from RNAcentral.